UGAUGUGAAAUGGUUAUUUUGGACAGGUAUGUAUUUAACCCUCGGGUUGAGUAUUGAUACAACCACUAUAAGGUAAUAAGAUGAUGAGGAAUGAUGUUUAGAAAUGUGAUAUGUGUUUUAGUGAUGUAUGCUAAUGUUGAUUGGUAUAACUGUUUGUUAUGUUACUUAUUAUUUGCAUAUGAACUUACUAAACAUUUAUGCUUACUCCCUCCUUCUUACUCAUUGUAGUUUUGGACAAGCCAGCUCAGGAGUCGGGAUAGGUCGAAGGCUCAGUCAC
This 277-nucleotide long non-coding RNA is filed under the name Gossypium barbadense (sea-island cotton). RNAcentral describes it as "long non-coding RNA (GBAR_LNC007273)". The record is from RNAcentral. Lineage: Eukaryota; Viridiplantae; Streptophyta; Magnoliopsida; Malvales; Malvaceae.